RNAcentral lists this unclassified non-coding RNA (258 nucleotides) under Rhizophagus clarus. RNAcentral describes it as "partial contains 5.8S ribosomal RNA and internal transcribed spacer 2". The stretch from base 1 to 71 matches the Rfam family "5.8S ribosomal RNA", at positions 84 to 154 of the family's 154-position model. The record is from RNAcentral. Lineage: Eukaryota; Fungi; Glomeromycota; Glomeromycetes; Glomerales; Glomeraceae.
GUGAAUCAUCGAAUUUUUGAACGCAAAUUGCACUCUCUGGUAUUCCGGAGAGUAUGCCUGUUUGAGGGUCAGUAUAAUCAAAAUCGUAGCGAUGCCGUUUGGUUGAAGUACCGGAGUUUUGGUCAUCUUAACUCUUUAAGAGACCUAAAAUUAACAUUCUGUUCUUGCUCACUUGCAGUCGUACAUAAUGUUUUUUAUUCGUCUACCCUGGUUGCAAUAGUUUUACUAGAUCGUUAAUCACGUAGAUUAGUCUCGCGU